CCUACGGGAGGCAGCAGUGGGGGAUAUUGCACAAUGGGGGGAACCCUGAUGCAGCGACGCCGCGUGGGUGAAGGAGUGCUUCGGCAUGUAAAGCCCUAUCGGCAGGGAAGAAGCAAGACGGUACCUGACUACGAAGCCCCGGCUAACUACGUGCCAGCAGCCGCGGUAAUACGUAGGGGGCGAGCGUUAUCCGGAUUCACUGGGGGUAAAGGGAGCGUAGACGGCCAAGCAAGCCGCGGGGGAAAGCCCGGGCCCCAACCCCGGGACUGCCCUUGGAACUGCAUGGCUGGAGGGCGGGAGGGGCAGGCGGAAUGCCUGGUGUAGCGGUGAAAUGCGUAGAUAUCAGGAGGAACACCGGCGGCGAAGGCGGCCUGCUGGACCGCGACUGACGUUGAGGCUCGAAAGCGUGGGGAGCGAACAGGAUUAGAUACCCUGGUAGUC
This 441-nucleotide ribosomal RNA is filed under the name uncultured bacterium. RNAcentral describes it as "partial 16S ribosomal RNA". It matches the Rfam family "Bacterial small subunit ribosomal RNA", at positions 338 to 795 of the family's 1533-position model. The record is from RNAcentral.